ACUCUCCUUAUACACUUGUGUAGUCUUUUUGGUGGCAUGAAAACAGAUGGGAUGACAUGAGAAAGACAUGGUAGUAAUUUGCUUUUUACCACUUUCCUUCCUAUACAAAGCCUUUGCUUCUGUUACAUAUGCAUAUGUUGAAAGAACUUGGGAGUCUAUAUAUGCUUCUUGUGGCUAACCAUAUUGUACCCUUCUGCUUUGCCAUUUGCUCUAGCAAAACCUAUUUUUGUAGAAAUUCAGGAGAGGGAGAUCUGUGCUAAACAGAUGAGCUUGCACUCUAACUUUACUUCAUAAGUUAACUUCAUAAAGAACAUUAACUCAAGCCUUGUUGAUCAGUGCAGCAUGGUCUGUGCCUUGAAAGCAGUAAUGAGGAAGUGAAGGGCACAGUCUUCCAAGAAUCAGACAACUUUCUUUUUACUCUGUGCCUUGAGGAAGAUCAAGCUAACAGUAUUUAAUAAUGUGACUCUGUCCUAAAGCCAUUCCAAGUAUAUUAGA
Molecule: long non-coding RNA, 495 nt
Organism: Lacerta agilis (Sand lizard)
Lineage: Eukaryota; Metazoa; Chordata; Lepidosauria; Squamata; Lacertidae
Exons: 3
Source: RefSeq, a predicted model, not a curated record